CAUUUUUAUUGUUCAUUACUGAAUGUAUCGCUUUAUUAAACUGAUGAUCUUCAAGUUGGUGGCAAGCUUGCAAGACUAACUAACUAGAUCCUGUUCCUGUUCUCCUGGGGCUGUGGAGCUGCUUUAAUGCACUAGAAAACGCCGUUUAUCACAAGAGUUUCCUGUGUCUAAUCUGUCAUUGUUGCAAGCGAUGGAUCAAACCAUCUUAAAGGAAGAACCCCCACAGAGAUCCACAUGGAAAUAGGUCCAUUGGAA
Molecule: non-coding RNA, 255 nt
Organism: Pogona vitticeps (central bearded dragon)
Lineage: Eukaryota; Metazoa; Chordata; Lepidosauria; Squamata; Agamidae
Source: RefSeq, a predicted model, not a curated record